UGUGAUGGGGAGCGAAAUUUAGUAGCGAAGUAGCUGAUUUCACACUGUCAAGAAAAGUCUCUAUCGAGGUUAAAGGUACCCGUACCGCAAACCGACACAGGUGGGUGAGGAGAGUAUCCUAAGGCCAGCGAGAGAACUGUUGUUAAGGAACUCGGCAAAAGGACCCCGUAACUUAGGGAUAAGGGGUGCCACCAUCAGGUGGCAGCAGAGAAUAGGCCCAAGCGACUGUUUACCAAAAACAUAGGUUUCUGCUAAGUCGCAAGACGAUGUAUAGGAGCUGACGCCUGCCCGGUGCUGGAAGGUUAAGGGGAUCUGUUAGAGCAAUCGAAGCAGUGAACUUAAGCCCCAGUAAACGGCGGCCGUAACUAUAACGGUCCUAAGGUAGCGAAAUUCCUUGUCGGGUAAGUUCCGACCCGCACGAAAGGCGUAACGAUUUGGG
RNAcentral lists this ribosomal RNA (439 nucleotides) under Clostridioides difficile. RNAcentral describes it as "bacterial LSU rRNA". It matches the Rfam family "Bacterial large subunit ribosomal RNA", at positions 1562 to 2013 of the family's 2925-position model. The record is from RNAcentral. Lineage: Bacteria; Bacillati; Bacillota; Clostridia; Peptostreptococcales; Peptostreptococcaceae.